GAUGAAGAACGCAGCGAAAUGCGAUACGUAAUGUGAAUUGCAGAAUUCAGUGAAUCAUCGAGUUUUUGAACGCACAUUGCGCCCUCUGGUAUUCCGGAGGGCAUGCCUGUCCGAGCGUCAUUGCUGCCCUCAAGCACGGCUUGUGUGUUGGGCUCCGUCCCCCGAUCCCGGGGGACGGGCCCGAAAGGCAGCGGCGGCACCGCGUCCGGUCCUCGAGCGUAUGGGGCUUUGUCACCCGCUCUGUAGGCCCGGCCGGCGCUUGCCGAUCAACCAAAUUUUUAUCCAGGUUGACCUCGGAUCAGGUAGGGAUACCCGCUGAACUUAAGCAUAUCAAUAAGCGGAGGA
Molecule: unclassified non-coding RNA, 345 nt
Filed under: soil metagenome
Description: partial contains 5.8S ribosomal RNA, internal transcribed spacer 2, and large subunit ribosomal RNA
Rfam family: 5.8S ribosomal RNA (bases 1-120)
Source: RNAcentral